RNAcentral lists this long non-coding RNA (3581 nucleotides) under Homo sapiens (human). Its description in RNAcentral is "HSALNT0313133". Lineage: Eukaryota; Metazoa; Chordata; Mammalia; Primates; Hominidae. The record is from RNAcentral.
GAGGCUGUGGAACAGCAAAUAUUGCAGAACAGAAAAUACUGCUGCCUGAUCCUUCCUCUGGAAACUUCGUCCUAGAGUGGCACCCACCUACAUGAGGAAGCCAGAAUGGACUGAAUGUCACAGCCUUUAUAACCCACACUGUGGCCGCAAGAAGAGAUUCAAAGAAAAGAAGAUCCUCCCUGCCAUUCCUCAGUGGCUGAAGUGCGUGGCCAGUCAUCAUUCGCUGAGCCCUUACUAGUAAGAUACUGAGAAUCCGACAGGUUAAAUUACUUCAAAAUCAAACAAAAAAAAUCGUAGAACUGGGAUUUAACCCUCAAAGCGUCAAUUCUGAAGUUAAAGCUUUACCCCAGGGCCUUAAGACACAGGAACUAGCAUCAGAAAUGUCUCAAAAACAUGAUGCUAUUUGGUUUCUACGUGCUUUAACUCAGCCCACAUCAGCAGCCUCUGUUCUGGAGCAGAAAUGGAAGGAAAAUUCCUGGGACUUUAGUGCUUCCUGCAGCCAGCCUCAGGCCCUUUUCUUCUACAGAUUCUGGGAUGCAAAAAUCCUACUUCUGCUCUAAAAGGAGAAAAUGUGAUUUGCAAGGAGAAUGUAAGUCUCAAAGAGGUACCUCUUCUUCUUCCUUGAGAGCCAUUGCCCCUUUUAUCAAUGUGACACAGCCCUUCGGAAACAGGCUCCUUGUUCUUGGAGCUUGGCAGGGAAAAAAAACCAAGAAUUCAUUUGAAGGAGAGAAAGCAUCGUUAAAAAUGCCCUAUUUAGGGAAAACUUCAGAGCCAAGACUAGAUGUAUGUUCUCAUUAUUUCACAUGUUGUCAGAGUAACCAGUACAGUGAAAAGACAGCCUUUUGAAGAAAACAAGUUUGUGGAAAGUGCUUAAUUAAGGACACUGGCAUUUAUUUUUGACAUUUAUGAGACGAGAAAUGGUCACAGAAAACUAGAUGACUUUGCUUCACAAACAUACUGAAAACAAACAAGGAGCAUCAUUCCCACCAAGUGCUGAAGCAGCAUAUACUUUAAUGCCUUAUUUUGGUCGAGCCAAUAUUUUGGUCAAGUGAUAAUGGGGGCACUGUAUAAUCUGCCGGGCCUAACUCAUUACUCAUCCUGGAGCCUGUCAAUCCUCCAGAGGUCAGAUCAUUGGCUUUGGUGGUUAUGUGGUCCUUGGUCUCUGCCCUCUGGGAGCUGAGGGUGAGAGAGUCUGUCACACCUGAAAACACAAAUCCUGCUGCCUUUCAAGCCACCAGUCCUGCUGUGAUAGACAAGCUACAUUUUCUUCCCAUUCUAUAGAAAGCAGCGGAACACCAGCUAAGAUGUGGUAUAAACUCCUGAUUGUUUACAGGCUUACAGAGCCUGUGGAAUGAAUGCAUAACUGUCCACAAAUAUCUUCUAGUAUUUAACCUUCAUUUAUUUUCCUUCAUGGUUUAAAUUUUCCAUUGUGAGGGGGAAACUCCUGGAUCUCUAGCAGUGCUUGCUGAAAAAUGUUAAUUUCCCCUCAUAUUUUCACAUCCUCAAGACUAGCACAGAACAGGAAUUUCUCAUAGCUAGAAUUAUAUUGACUUAUACGAGAGAGACUUUGUUUGCUCAUUUAACAAAUAUUAAAUGAGAGCUGACUGUAUGCCAGACACUACUGAAGGCAUAGAGGACUAAACCAUGCAGACUAGAUCCCCUCUCAAGGGAUGGCAUUGGGAUAAGGAGGCAGCGAUAAUCAAAUAACUGAAUAAAUAAGAUUAGUGGUGCAUGCUAUGAAAUAAGACAGAGUGUUGUAAUAGAAAGUGUUGGGGAGGCCAGUGAGGAAGGGCUACUUAUAAGUGAAUGUCAGUGAGGAGGUGACCUCUGAGCUAAGGCUUAGUGACUAGAGGAACCAGCUAUGCAAAGGCCUGGAGGAAGAGAAUUCCAGCAUGAGGGAUCAACAGGAGCAAAGGCCUCAAGAAAGGAAAUAUCUUAACCUACUCUAGAAGGGCAAUGUGGCAAGAGCAUAGAGAGAUGGGGUAAAGCUGGGAGAAGUCAUAGAUAAGAAUAGGGUCAAUCAUGUAGAACCUAAUGGACCAUGAAAAAGAGUGAAUUUUGUUCUAAAUGCAGUAGGAGGCUACUGGAGAUUUUGAUAUGGAGAUUUAAACAACCCAUUUCAUAUUUUCAUAGCACUACUCUGAGUUUUUUAUAAAUUAUAGAGGAGCUCAAGUAGAACAAGAUUUCAUAAUAAUCAAAGCUAGAGAUAACAGUGGCUUAGACCAAGGUGAAAAAUGGUAGAAAUGAAAAGAAGUAAACAGAUGUGAAAUAUAUUUUUUAAAUGGAGCCAAGAGUUUUUGUUGAUGGAUUGAUGACGUCUACUAACACGAGGAAGACUCCGGAAAGAAUAAUUGGCAGGGGGUGGGAUUUAAGACCUCUCUUAGGUAGAACUAAAAUUGAUAGGUGCUUUAGAAAUUCAAGUGAGAAUGUCAAUCGUGUAGCUGGGCUAAAUGGUACUUAGUUAAGGUUAGAGUUUGGAGAACAUCUUUCAAUUAAUUAAAUCCAAAAUGAAGAGAAUCUCAAAUGAAAACAUGCAUAAGUUUGGUAUGGGGAAAAAACUUCUCAAUCUAACAUCUCUGUUUCUGUCACUGACACCAUUUUUCUCAUUAUCCAUAUUCAAAAAGUUAUAUUGAAUUCCUUUUCUCCCCUUCACUUCCAUAUUUAGACACAGUAUUUAUCAUCAUGGUAUUUAUCUGCUCCAAGAUCUUUGAUGACUCUCGAUUGGAUAAAUUAUUUAGCCUUCUAGACCUGCAUCUUUAUCUAUUUUCCAGCUUUCUUUCUUCUAUCCCCUAUCAUGAACUCUUGGCUUCAACUGAAUGUAUCUCUCCAACUGGAAUCUACUUGUGCCAUAUCUGCUUCCUUGUCUGAGGUGGCUUUUCCACUCCUCUUAGCUGAGUCUUACCUGCCUUUUGAGGUCCAGAUAAAAUUCUACCUCCUCCAAAAAAUACUCCUUGGGUUCUCUCAAACCUAUAGACAAUGUUUGUCUUAUCAUUUGGACCAUCGUUUUCAUGAUCACUCUGUAAUUAAGUGUGUGGUAUUGAUAACUGUCCAUUACUCUCUUCCAUGUCAUGUCUAUUCAGGAAAUCAUAUGCUUCUUUAGGCUAGAAAUUUGACAUAUCUCUUGAUAAUUAACAAUUGCUGGCCAAGUGAAUUUGAAAUUCAACUUAACCAUGUAGUUUCCUUUGAAACAUAGCUGAGACUAUAUAUUUAAAAUACAGUCACCUCUUGAUAUCCUCGGGGGAUUGCUUCUAGGACGCCCCUCAUGUACCAAAUUCCUCUGAUGCUUAAGUCUGUUAUACGAUAUAUGCAGGUUAUAUACAAAUACUUUGACAUUUUAUAUAACAGACUUAAGCAUCAGAAUCGUUUUUUUUCUGAAUAUUUUUGAUCUGGAUUUGGUUGAAUCCACAGAUGUGGAACCCAUGGAUAUAAAGGGCUGACAGUACUUCAUUAAAGAACAAAGCAAAACAAGUAAAUCUUAGGUGGGGAUUGAAUGAAAGAGCAUGUAAUUUGAACACAGAAGGCUCACAGAAAUUUUAUGAGGUUUUACUAAGAAAAUGUAUAUAAAAAUCCUUUGUACCUGG